Molecule: unclassified non-coding RNA, 2826 nt
Filed under: Monomorium pharaonis (pharaoh ant)
Lineage: Eukaryota; Metazoa; Arthropoda; Insecta; Hymenoptera; Formicidae
Description: rING finger protein 207, transcript variant X3
Source: RNAcentral
GCUCGCUCCGUUAAACCACCCUCUUCGGUCGGGGUAAUCAUUUUCUCGGCGCAGGCAGGCCGACGAUCUAAGAGGGUAAAAGACACAGUUCUAAAAAGUUCGUGUGGUCGGUUCUCGGUCGCCUGGACGCCGCUUUGUCCAUGUCGUUCCGCGGUAAGUCACACGCGCGCAGCGUCCUGACGAUAAAUCGUUUUCGUUCUCUUCCACAGAGGGGUGCACGCGGCAGCGGCAUGGAACAGGGAACGGUGUCGUGAAGUGAGGCGGUAGGCGCGUGUCGUCCGCGCGCGCGUGGUUGGAACGACGACGGCGAUGGCGAGCUCGGGCACGGCGGUGGUCGACGGGGUCGGCGAUGACGGCACGACGGGCGUGCCGGGCGGCGGGCCCAGAAAUCCCCUCACCUGCGGUGUUUGUCACAAUUACUACAACGAGCCCUGCCUGCUCUCCUGCUUCCAUACCUUUUGCGCCCGGUGCAUACACGGUCCUCACAUCGACGGGACGAUCAAGUGUCCCAUCUGCGGGCAACAAACACAGUUGAAAGAUGGAACGCAACUACCACCUGCCGAUCAACUAAUACGCCAACUGGUGGAACUGGCAAAUUCUGAAAAUCCACCAUGUGCCAAUUGUGACAAGCGUGACAAGUCUACUAUGUUUUUCUGUACAACAUGCGGACAAGCGCUUUGCACUCACUGCAGGGAACACACCCAUCGCGCAAAGAUGUUCUCCACCCAUGAGGUGGUGCACAUGAGCAAGUGCACGAAAGACACCCAACGCCGUUGUCCGAGCCACGGCGAGCAGUAUAUAAUGUUCAGCCAGAGUGCCAAGUGUAUGCUGUGCGCCACAUGCUUUCGCGACACGCCCCCGGACGCGCGGGUGCACUGCAUAGACAUCGAGAGCGCUUGGCAGCAGGCCUCGAAGAAGAUGGAGCGCGCAGUGAACUCGAUCUGCGAGCUCCAGGCUGGGAUUAAGGACGGCGUGCUGGCGCUCAAGUCGCAACUGGACGAACUGCGGCACAGCCUCGAGUCCGAAAAGCGCGCGUUGACCGCCUUCUGCCAGGGGAUGCAGGAGGCGAUCAACAAGACACACGCGUACGUCCUCGCCGAGCUGCAGCGUCAAUUCGACACUAAGGAGCGUAUGGUGCGCACGCAGUUGCUCGCACUCGGUGGUGCGUUACCUGUGCUGCAAAUGCAUCUGAUGCUGUGCACCGCGUUCACCACUGGCGCGACCAAGUAUCAGUUCCUCGAGCUGGCGCACCCGAUGCUGGAGCGGCUGAGCCGCGUCGCCCAGCUAGGUCAUCCGUCGCGGCCACCGCUGCUCGCUGCUCACAUCAAGACCAAUUAUCGAGCCGACUUCGCACGCGCUCUGCAUCCUUACAUAACCCAAGUGCAGACCCCGAAAAUGCCCGCUGAAUCCCUGUACGAUCAGAUGAUCGGCGGUCACACGAUAGGCCAGCCGGAGCCACAAGUACUUCAGAGUAACAAGACUACUCAGAGACUCCCGCCCCCGAAGAGCGGAUCUGACGGCGGACCAUUCUCCAAUCAUUGUCGAACCUUCGACACCCAGUUAAAGGAACUGAGCCAGCAGUUGAUAACGGUGAGAGAGCGACUGGGCGAGCUGCAGCGGGACGUUUCUGUCUUGAAGCGAGCGAAUACUCCGCCGCUGGGUUCGCGCUACGAUCACGUGGCGAGAGACUGCCGUGUGCUUGAGCAGCAAUUGGAGCAUCAUCAGAUGGAGCUGGAGCGACUGAGAAACAUCUUCGACGCGCUCUGGGAGGAGCAGAUGUGUAGAAUUCACGUGGAAAAAGAGAUCUUCCACUCUCAGAUGAAUGACAUACUGUCCCUGAAGAGCGAGGUGAAGAAACUGCAAGUGCUCGCUCAGCACCUGGAGCCCUUCGUCAAGUCAUUCUCGAUAGGUAUCGGCGCGGGGGAGAUAAGCACAGCCGCGGCGGAUGCGGUUGAUAAUCAGCAUCUGCAAGCAUUGCUGGAUCAUUUGGCACGCUUGCAGAUGCAGGAGCCACCGCCGGUGCAUCCACAGGCUCAAGCACCGACGAAGGAUCAUCGUCAUCCACGCAGCACUACCACGAGUGCCGAUAAUGCAUUAUACAUGAAAGAGACGAAGGAGAUCCCGACGCGAUGUCGCACGCCGUCCGGCGGUGUCGGCGCCGUUUUAGACUCGAGCGGCAACAUAGUCGUAUACGGUACGGCCAAAUCGACCGAUCCGAAACGAGGCGUGCUCAGCCAAUUGAUCGAGAAGGCCAGAACGCAGAAGGACGAUCGCAAGAAGUCGCCAGGCAGGGAGGAUGGCCGCGAUCGCAGUCAGAGUCGACGUUCGCGCAAGUCGCCGGACGGCUCGAAGCCGAAGACGCCACCCGGGCACUCGUCCGGCAGCAAGAUGCGGUCGUUAUAUCGCUCCCUGAAAGGCGGCACUGGCGACACUUCCGCCGAGGCGCUCGAUCAGGCGGAGAGAUGCACCGACUCGCAACAGCCGCAGUCUCACAUUGGUAAGAAUUGCGAAAGAAUUGCGAAGGACCGUCGCAAACGUGCGCAAACAUACUGAUACAUUAUGACACGCAGGUCUUCCUUUGUAGUCCGGGAUGAAAUUUCGGGUUUAGACUUAGAGGCGACAUAAACAUCCGACAGCCGAAUACGUAAAGUUACUCCACCGUUCGUCGCAUACGCUCCUUACAUAUGCAAUAUAUCAGGCGAUGACGGCGAGUAUCAACGAAUCUCGGAGGCCUCGAGCAUGGGCGAAGCGAAGAAACGUGUGCAGGCGCAGGUGCACGCGAUCCCAACCGACGAUCAGAUACGAGCGAUUCCGAGCAGCAAAAUC